This 325-nucleotide ribosomal RNA is filed under the name uncultured eukaryote. RNAcentral's name for it is "partial 18S ribosomal RNA". It matches the Rfam family "Eukaryotic small subunit ribosomal RNA", at positions 1470 to 1796 of the family's 1831-position model. The record is from RNAcentral.
CCCUUAGAUGUUCUGGGCCGCACGCGAGUUACACUGAUGCAGCCAACGAGUUUAUUGCUUUCCCGAUGGGGCUGGCUAAUCUUUUCAAACUGCAUCGUGAUGGGGAUUGGCGGUUGUAAUUGUCCGCCAUGAACGAGGAAUUCCUAGUAGCUGUCUUUCAUCAAAAAGCAGCGAUUACGUCCCUGCCCCUUGUACACACCGCCCGUCGCUCCUACCGAUUGAGCGUUUCGGUGAGGUCUCGGGAUUUCGUAGUUUUCACGGCAACGUGGGGCUAUGAGAGAACUUGAUCGAACCUCAGCGUUUAGAGGAAGGAGAAGUCGUANCA